Molecule: long non-coding RNA, 1221 nt
Organism: Notolabrus celidotus (New Zealand spotty)
Lineage: Eukaryota; Metazoa; Chordata; Actinopteri; Labriformes; Labridae
Exons: 3
Source: RefSeq, a predicted model, not a curated record
UAUAUUACAUAAUAGUGUUUCGGUUGGCCUAUACGGCAAGCUUAUACUACACCAAGGACCAGUCUAAGACUAGUUUGAACCUGCCCUAAGUAUAAGCUUCAUCAAAAAGGAAAGUUUUAAACCAGCUCUUAAAAGUAGAGAGUGGAUUCCAAAGGAGAGAAGUCUGAUAACCGAAGGCUUGAUUUCCCGUACUACUUAUGGAUAUUUCAUGGUUCUCAAACAGGCCUGAAUAUUGGGAGCACAAUGUUCUGGAGGUCUGAUAGGAUACACCAUUCCUAAGGCGGAGGCAUGCUAACUGAGGGCUCUACCUCCUGUACUUCUUCUGGAGACUUUAGGUACCUCAAGCAGGCCAGCACUCUGGAAGCAAAGCAUUUUAAAGUUGUGAUAUGGAGCUAUGAGCUGUUAUGGCAGAUAAAUAUUUAAGAUGUCUGUAAUCGUUUCCAAGUUGGCUCCCCAUGAUCUAGACUGUGAGGUUCCUCUUCUUUCCUGCCCCAAAAGAUGUGAUGAUCCACUUUUUCCUCUGUUCAUUUUUAACGAAACAAGAUGUUCAUACUUCAUCUCAUUUCUUCUCAAUCACAUUCCCUUUCUUCUUUGUCCACCAUGAAUCCUCUCAUUAUUCAUAAGCGAUAAUAUUCAAUCGUCUGCAUGGAAUUAACGCUGCUCAUUGUGUGUGUAUGUGCGGGACACCUCAUCAUCAGCCCAUCAUAUAGAUCAGUGCUGAUGAUCCGUCUGGAGCGAGAGGACAGAGAAGCAGACCAUUGUUCGUGGACCUCUCUCCUCAUUUUUUUGUCUCCAUCACAAUGGACCAAACCUGUCACCAACGCUCUCACUCUCAGAGCCGAAGCAGCUAAUUCAUCCAUUUAUAUUUAUAUAGAUGUGGAUCGGAGCCUUUGUGGUGUAGUUAUGCACCAUGGAAUAUUAUGAAAUAACAAAAGAGCUGAUAAGAGCGACACAAGAGGUCCAUGAUCUGGGACAGAGGAGUCACUGCUGCGGCCAGAGGAAGAUGGGACAAGCUGAGACUGAACCAACAAUUAACAGCUAAGAUGUUUUUGGAUAAUUGGAAAACAUGAAACACAAGUUUUAUAACCCAUCUCGUUAAGGAAGGGGCACAAGCUCUGUUGGUGGAAUAAAGUUAUUUAUGGCAAAAAAUAAAACUGUGCGAGUACAAAAGUUCGGCUAACAUAAAUUAAAAGGCUCCUUGAGGAUCUAACCUGGAGUGAA